UACGUAGGGUGCGAGCGUUAAUCGGAAUUACUGGGCGUAAAGUGUGCGCAGGCGGCGUUGCAAGUCGAGUGUGAAAUCCCCGAGCUUAACUUGGGAAUUGCGCUCGAAACUACGAUGCUCGAGUGUGGCAGAGGAAGGUGGAAUUCCACGUGUAGCGGUGAAAUGCGUAGAGAUCUGGAGGAACACCGAUGGCGAAGGCAGCCUUCUGGGCCAACACUGACGCUCAUGCACGAAAGCGUGGGGAGCAAACAGG
RNAcentral lists this ribosomal RNA (253 nucleotides) under uncultured bacterium. RNAcentral describes it as "partial 16S ribosomal RNA". It matches the Rfam family "Bacterial small subunit ribosomal RNA", at positions 524 to 776 of the family's 1533-position model. The record is from RNAcentral.